This 409-nucleotide ribosomal RNA is filed under the name uncultured Nitrososphaerota archaeon. RNAcentral's name for it is "bacterial SSU rRNA". It matches the Rfam family "Archaeal small subunit ribosomal RNA", at positions 452 to 861 of the family's 1478-position model. Lineage: Archaea; Thermoproteati; Nitrososphaerota. The record is from RNAcentral.
CUGGUGUCAGCCGCCGCGGUAAUACCAGCACCCCGAGUGGUCGGGACGUUUAUUGGGCCUAAAGCAUCCGUAGCCGGUUCUACAAGUCUUCCGUUAAAUCCACCUGCUUAACAGAUGGGCUGCGGAAGAUACUAUAGAGCUAGGAGGCGGGAGAGGCAAGCGGUACUCGAUGGGUAGGGGUAAAAUCCGUUGAUCCAUUGAAGACCACCAGUGGCGAAGGCGGCUUGCCAGAACGCGCUCGACGGUGAGGGAUGAAAGCUGGGGGAGCAAACCGGAUUAGAUACCCGGGUAGUCCCAGCUGUAAACGAUGCAGACUCGGUGAUGAGUUGGCUUAUUGCUAACUCAGUGCCGCAGGGAAGCCGUUAAGUUUGCCGCCUGGGGAGUACGGAAGCAAGACUGAAACUUAAAG